This 517-nucleotide ribosomal RNA is filed under the name uncultured Staphylococcus sp. Its description in RNAcentral is "partial 16S ribosomal RNA". Lineage: Bacteria; Bacillati; Bacillota; Bacilli; Caryophanales; Staphylococcaceae. The record is from RNAcentral.
CACGUAGUUAGCCGUGGCUUUCUGAUUAGGUACCGUCAAGAUGUGCACAGUUACUUACACAUUUGUUCUUCCCUAAUAACAGAGUUUUACGAGCCGAAACCCUUCAUCACUCACGCGGCGUUGUUCCGUCAGGCUUUCGCCCAUUGCGGAAGAUUCCCUACUGCUGCCUCCCGUAGGAGUCUGGACCGUGUCUCAGUUCCAGUGUGGCCGAUCACCCUCUCAGGUCGGCUACGUAUCGUCGCCUUGGUAAGCCGUUACCUUACCAACUAGCUAAUACGGCGCGGGUCCAUCUAUAAGUGAUAGCAAAACCAUCUUUCACUUUAGAACCAUGCGGUUCUAAAUGUUAUCCGGUAUUAGCUCCGGUUUCCCGAAGUUAUCCCAGUCUUAUAGGUAGGUUACCCACGUGUUACUCACCCGUCCGCCGCUAACUUCAAAGGAGCAAGCUCCUUAUCUGUUCGCUCGACUUGCAUGUAUUAGGCACGCCGCCAGCGUUCAUCCUGAGCCAGGAUCAAACUCU